AUCCAGAUAACGAGUCCCAAAUAGGACGAAAUCUGCAUUCUGGAU
This 45-nucleotide non-coding RNA is filed under the name Trichobilharzia regenti. Lineage: Eukaryota; Metazoa; Platyhelminthes; Trematoda; Strigeidida; Schistosomatidae. The record is from RNAcentral.